This 467-nucleotide ribosomal RNA is filed under the name uncultured bacterium. RNAcentral's name for it is "partial 16S ribosomal RNA". It matches the Rfam family "Bacterial small subunit ribosomal RNA", at positions 28 to 507 of the family's 1533-position model. The record is from RNAcentral.
GACGAACGCUGGCGGCGUGCUUAACACAUGCAAGUCGAACGGAAAGGCCUCUUUCGGGGGGUACUCGAGUGGCGAACGGGUGAGUAACACGUGAGUAACCUGCCCUUGACUCUGGGAUAACUUCAGGAAACUGGGGCUAAUACCGGAUAGGAGCUCCUGCUGCAUGGUGGGGGUUGGAAAGUUUCGGCGGUUGGGGAUGGACUCGCGGCUUAUCAGCUUGUUGGUGGGGUAGUGGCUUACCAAGGCUUUGACGGGUAGCCGGGCUGGGAGGGUGACCGGCCACAUUGGGACUGGGAUACGGCCCAGACUCCUACGGGAGGCAGGAGUGGGGAAUAUUGCACAAUGGGUGGGAGCCUGAUGCAGCAACGCCGUGUGCGGGAUGACGGCCUUCGGGUUGUAAACCGCUUUCGCUCAUGACGAAGCUUUGUGUGACGGUAGUGGGUAAAGAAGCACCGGCUAACUACGUG